CAGUCGCCGCGGUAAUACGGAGGGAGCUAGCGUUGUUCGGAAUUACUGGGCGUAAAGCGCGCGUAGGCGGCUUUGUAAGUCAGAGGUGAAAGCCUGGAGCUCAACUCCAGAACUGCCUUUGAGACUGCAUCGCUCGAAUCCGGGAGAGGUGAGUGGAAUUCCGAGUGUAGAGGUGAAAUUCGUAGAUAUUCGGAAGAACACCAGUGGCGAAGGCGGCUCACUGGACCGGUAUUGACGCUGAGGUGCGAAAGCGUGGGGAGCAAACAGGAUUAGAUACCCCAGUAGUCCCUGUCUCUUAUAC
This 301-nucleotide ribosomal RNA is filed under the name uncultured bacterium. RNAcentral's name for it is "partial 16S ribosomal RNA". It matches the Rfam family "Bacterial small subunit ribosomal RNA", at positions 509 to 807 of the family's 1533-position model. The record is from RNAcentral.